This is a small nucleolar RNA of Macadamia integrifolia, 87 nucleotides long. RefSeq annotates it as small nucleolar RNA U54. The record is from RefSeq and is a predicted model, not a curated record. NCBI's taxonomy places the organism in Eukaryota, Viridiplantae, Streptophyta, Magnoliopsida, Proteales, Proteaceae. The transcript has a single exon.
GGCUCGAUGAUUACAGCCCUUCCUGGGCAAUAUACGCUAUUCUGAUAAUUACUUUCACAGGCUGAAACUCUUCCGAGAAUGAGAGCU